Long non-coding RNA from Xiphophorus hellerii (green swordtail), 447 nucleotides. RefSeq lists it as uncharacterized. The transcript is spliced from 3 exons. The record is from RefSeq and is a predicted model, not a curated record. NCBI's taxonomy places the organism in Eukaryota, Metazoa, Chordata, Actinopteri, Cyprinodontiformes, Poeciliidae.
UUGUUUCAGGGAAUUUUCUAUCUUCAUUCUUCCUUUUGGGAGAAACAUGUUUCUCUUUACAUUUUUUUUUACUUUUUGACCAGUAAUUCAGGAUAGAUGACACAAGAUAAACUCAAUGCAGAAAAUCAAAUCCCCAAAAAUUCAAAAACAAAGGGUUGAUAAUUUAAAAGGUGAUCAGCCCUUAUUCAGUCUUUAUAUCACCAUCAACUGAUGGUUCAUAAGAUGCACCUUCAAUCUGUUUCAGAAAACUGGUUGAUCGUUGGUUGAGCUAAUCUUUCAUGUUAGAGAAACUCAGGACUCACUUGGGAGCAAUUUACCAAUUCAGGACAAAUUUAGAGAAAAAUAUAAUAUAAAUAAAUUUAAAUAUGAUUGACAUUAUGACAACUUCAAGACUUGUGCAUGUUAAAACUUACACAAUGAACUUAUGCUAUUUUGGAAGUUGACAAU